RNAcentral lists this ribosomal RNA (402 nucleotides) under uncultured Actinomycetes bacterium. RNAcentral's name for it is "bacterial SSU rRNA". It matches the Rfam family "Bacterial small subunit ribosomal RNA", at positions 9 to 412 of the family's 1533-position model. The record is from RNAcentral. Lineage: Bacteria; Bacillati; Actinomycetota; Actinomycetes.
GAGUUUGAUCCUGGCUCAGGACGAACGCUGGCGGCGUGCUUAACACAUGCAAGUCGAGCGGAAAGGCCCUUUCGGGGGUACUCGAGCGGCGAACGGGUGAGUAACACGUGAGUAACCUGCCCUGGACUUUGGGAUAACCCUCGGAAACGGGGGCUAAUACCGGAUAUGACCAGCUGCCGCAUGGUGGUGGGUGGAAAGUUUUUCGGUCUGGGAUGGGCUCGCGGCCUAUCAGCUUGUUGGUGGGGUGAUGGCCUACCAAGGCGACGACGGGGUAGCCGGCCUGAGAGGGUGUCCGGCCACACUGGGACUGAGAUACGGCCCAGACUCCUACGGGAGGCAGCAGUGGGGGAAUAUUGCACAAUGGGCGCAAGCCUGAUGCAGCGACGCCGCGUGAGGGAUGAC